GUGCAUCUGACGAGUUCCUAAUAGGACGAAACGCGCGUCCUGGAU
Molecule: non-coding RNA, 45 nt
Organism: Schistosoma haematobium
Lineage: Eukaryota; Metazoa; Platyhelminthes; Trematoda; Strigeidida; Schistosomatidae
Source: Rfam